UUGAGAGAACUCGGGUGAAGGAACUAGGCAAAAUGGUGCCGUAACUUCGGGAGAAGGCACGCUGAUAUGUAGGUGAAGCCCCUGCGGGCGGAGCUGAAAUCAGUCGAAGAUACCAGCUGGCUGCAACUGUUUAUUAAAAACACAGCACUGUGCAAA
RNAcentral lists this ribosomal RNA (156 nucleotides) under Enterobacter hormaechei subsp. xiangfangensis. RNAcentral describes it as "partial 23S ribosomal RNA". It matches the Rfam family "Bacterial large subunit ribosomal RNA", at positions 1690 to 1829 of the family's 2925-position model. Lineage: Bacteria; Pseudomonadati; Pseudomonadota; Gammaproteobacteria; Enterobacterales; Enterobacteriaceae. The record is from RNAcentral.